RNAcentral lists this ribosomal RNA (377 nucleotides) under uncultured bacterium. RNAcentral's name for it is "bacterial SSU rRNA". It matches the Rfam family "Bacterial small subunit ribosomal RNA", at positions 407 to 796 of the family's 1533-position model. The record is from RNAcentral.
GAUGACGGCCUUCGGGUUGUAAACCUCUUUCAGCAGGGACGAAGCGAGAGUGACGGUACCUGCAGAAGAAGGACCGGCCAACUACGUGCCAGCAGCCGCGGUAAUACGUAGGGUCCGAGCGUUGUCCGGAAUUAUUGGGCGUAAAGGGCUCGUAGGCGGUUCGUCACGUCGGGAGUGAAAACUCGGGGCUUAACCCCGAGCCUGCUUCCGAUACGGGCAGACUAGAGGUAGGCAGGGGAGAGCGGAACUCCUGGUGUAGCGGUGGAAUGCGCAGAUAUCAGGAAGAACACCGGUGGCGAAGGCGGCUCUCUGGGCCUUACCUGACGCUGAGGAGCGAAAGCGUGGGUAGCGAACAGGAUUAGAUACCCUGGUAGUCC